RNAcentral lists this long non-coding RNA (970 nucleotides) under Marmota monax (woodchuck). Lineage: Eukaryota; Metazoa; Chordata; Mammalia; Rodentia; Sciuridae. The record is from RNAcentral.
GGCAAAGGUCUUUUGGGGCCAGAUAAGUAACGUGAGUGACAGUGGAAAACUGGAGAAUGCAAGCCCUGUCCCAGGAGGGUGACUGCCACUCUGUUCCAACUGAUUGUUUCUGCUCAGUUGGGCUUUUCUUGAGACUUCAGAAUUCCAGAUAAAAUUUUCAAUGAAAUCUCAAUAGCUGUAAAUCUGAUUUUUAAUAUGAAGUCUGAUUUGUAAAAUCCAUCUCUAAUUUAAACUAACUGGGCCAAAAAAUUCAUUUGCAGGCAAAAUGUGACUACUUCUUUGCUAUAUCUGUUAUUUGCACAGGUGCAGAGAUGGAGAGUUAUGGGUGUUUAGGGUCAGAGAAUGGUGGUGGGGAGCUUUGGGGAAAAGCGUGGGAAGCUUGAAUAGUGAUUGAGGGUCUGUGAAUAGUUAGUCAUCUGAGCGCUGUGUUGCAGGCAGUGGGGAUCAGUACAGCUUGUCCAAGGAAGUAGUGAGGGAUCAGAUAUUGGAUUCAUUAUGUAAUUGUUGUGUGUCUCAGUUUUCAGUUGUAAAAUGUGAAUGAAAGAUCUCUAGAAGUGAUGAAGCUAUACAAAGUGUUUUGAAGAAUGCCUAACACAAAUACUAUGUUAGUGUUAGUUGCAGCUUGAGCAUCCCUAGUCCAGAAAUCCAAAAUGCUCCAAAGUCUGAAAUGUUUUGAGUACCAACGUUAUGCCCUGGUGGAAAAUCCUAUACCAUGAAACUGUUGCACAAAAUUAUUUUAAAAUGUAUGAAAUUGCCUAACUAUGUGUAUAAGGUAUAUGUGAGACUAAUUUCAUGGUUAGACUUGGCUCCCAUGCCAAGAUCUUAUGUAAAUAUUCCAAAAUGUGAAAAUAUCAGAACCCCAAAUGCUUCUAGUCCCAAGCAUUUUGUGUAAGGCGUGCUCUGCCUGUGUUAUUGUUACUAAGUUGAUGUGCAGGGGAACUGGGCAGAGGCCAGAAGCAAAGUUCAUCAG